Molecule: ribosomal RNA, 1302 nt
Filed under: Triticum aestivum (bread wheat)
Lineage: Eukaryota; Viridiplantae; Streptophyta; Magnoliopsida; Poales; Poaceae
Description: partial small subunit ribosomal RNA
Source: RNAcentral
AUGGCGCUGCAGAACAUUGGCGCUUCGAACAAGGAUGACGCCUUCUACAGGUACAAGAUGCCCAAAAUGCUAACCAAGAUAGAAGGCCAUGGUAAUGGCAUCAAGACAAACAUCGUGAACAUGGUUGACAUAGCGAAAGCACUUGCCAGGCCAGCUUCCUACACAACAAAGUACUUUAGCUGCAAGCUUGGGGCGCAGUAUAAAUUUGAUGACAAGACAGGAGUUUCCAUAGUCAAUGGUGCCCAUGACACUGCAAAGCUGGCUGGCCUUCUUGAGAACUUCAUCAACAAGUAUGUUCAGUGCUAUAAGUGUGGCAACCCUGAAACAGAGGUUGUCAUCUCGGAGAAACAGACGCUGUCUCUGAAAUGUGCUGCCUGUGGCUUCAUCUCGGAUGUUGACAUGAGGGACAAGCUCGCUACAUUCAUCGUGAAGAACCCACCAGAGCAGAAGAAGGGAGGCAAGGACAAGAAAGCUAUGCGAAGGGCUGAGAAGGAGCGACUCAAGGAAGGUCAGGCUGCUGAUGAGGAGAUGAAGAAACUCAAGAAGGAUGGGAAGAAGAAAGGUGCUGCAUCCAAGGACAGCACUGCAAAACGUGUUGCUGCAAAGAAAAAUGCUACCACUGAUGGUUCUGAUGAAGAACAUGCAAUCUCGCCAACUUACAGUCAAGGUGCUCACUUUGCGGCUGCUGCAGACGACGACGACGACGAUGAUGACGUGGAGUGGCAGACUGACACGUCAGCAGAGGCUGCGAGAAAGCGCAUGGAGGAGCAGCUGAGUGCGGCGACUGCCGAGAUGGUCAUGCUUGCCACCGAAAAGGCAGAGAAGAAGAAGAGGAAGAAACAGGCCAAAAUGACUCCAUAUGAUGAACUGGUCGAGGAGAUCAAGGCCAGCUUGGGCAAUGCCGCCACUCCUGCUCAGAUCAAGGCUGUGCUGUCCUCCUCAACCCUCCCCGCCAAGGACGCGAUGCACGCCCUCUUUGAGGCGCUCUUCCACGGUGCGGGCAAGGGGUUUGCAAAGGACGUCAAGAAGAACAAUGACUACCUUGCUGCUGCCGUGCCUGAUGAAGGGGCCCAGAUGCUGCUGCUCCAGGCCAUCGAGGCGUUCUGCGGCAAGUGCAGCGCCGAGGCCCUGAAGGAGGUGCCGGUGGUCCUGAAAUGCCUGUAUGACGGCGACGUCCUCGAGGAAGAAGCCAUUGUCCAGUGGUACGUUGAAGCUGUUGCUGCCGGCAAGGACUCCCAGGUUGUGAAGAAUGCCAGGCCGUUUGUGGUCUGGCUCCAGGUCGCCGAAGCGGACGAGGAGUGA